Molecule: ribosomal RNA, 497 nt
Filed under: uncultured bacterium
Lineage: Bacteria
Description: partial 16S ribosomal RNA
Rfam family: Bacterial small subunit ribosomal RNA
Source: RNAcentral
GGGGGGGGGGGGGGGGGGGGGGGGGGGGGGGGGGGGGGGGGGAGGGGGGGGGGGGUUGGUGCGGGGACGUGGGCGGCGGGCGGGUGAGUGACGCGUGGGUAACCUGCCUAGAAGACUGGGAUAACUGCGGGAAAGCGGAGCUAAUACGGGGUCAUAUAUUGAACCGCAUGGUUCAAUAGUGAAAGAUGGUUUUGCUGUCACGUAUAGAUGGGUCCGCGCCGCAUUAGCUAGUUGGUAAGGUAACGGCUUACCAAGGCAACGAUGCGUAGCCGACCUGAGAGGGUGAUCGGCCACACUGGAACUGAGACACGGUCCAGACUCCUACGGGAGGCAGCAGUAGGGAAUCUUCCGCAAUGGGCGAAAGCCUGACGGAGCAACGCCGCGUGAGUGAUGAAGGUCUUCGGAUCGUAAAACUCUGUUAUUAGGGAAGAACAAAUGUGUAAGUAACUAUGCACGUCUUGACGGUACCUAAUCAGAAAGCCACGGCUAACUACGUG